AACUCUUUAGCUUUUAGCAGUUGUUUUGAAAGCAACGAUACAGGUCACCCUAAGAGUUU
RNAcentral lists this transfer RNA (59 nucleotides) under Liphistius erawan. Its description in RNAcentral is "tRNA-Ser". The record is from RNAcentral. Lineage: Eukaryota; Metazoa; Arthropoda; Arachnida; Araneae; Liphistiidae.